Molecule: long non-coding RNA, 816 nt
Organism: Zonotrichia leucophrys gambelii
Lineage: Eukaryota; Metazoa; Chordata; Aves; Passeriformes; Passerellidae
Exons: 3
Source: RefSeq, a predicted model, not a curated record
GUCAUUCACUUCCCUGCUGCUGUGCACUUAACCUCUGCUUUCCUAUGCACCUACUUACAUUCCUGCCCCCCCUUGAGAAUGGGAAUAUGGGGAAGAGGAAAGGCAGAGUGAUUCCCAGAUGUAUCCAUUUACAAAAGAACCCAGCUCAGCUCCCGAUCAUCCUCAGCAGUCAGAGCUGUGCCUUCAGUCCAUGGUGUGCUCAGACAUCUGCCCAGUCUUGCCUAGCAGAGUCUUCAAAAACACCUCCAGUGUGCAUCAAGAGAAAUUAAUUCCAUGGCUCAUGCACCCAGGAGUUAAUUGAAAAUCCUCCCUGCUUUUUCCAGGUGCUGAGCAUUAAGACAAGGCACAGCUAAAACUGUCCAACAACCCCAGAAGUCAAAAAUUGUUGUGAAGUCUGCUCAGACAGCAGUGAGACUUUGUUCAUCCAAUGGCUUGCUCAUAAAAACUGAAAGCAGAUAAAGGGAAAAGGGAAAUGAAAUGAAGAAUUAUAAAGAGUCAUAAUGAGUCAAGCCAAAGGAUUGUUCAGGAUCCUGUGUCUGAGACAAUCCAGUUUCAGCUGUUUGGAGAAGGUGCACAGGGGAAAAUCAGGAGCUAAAUGAUCCCUUUCAGAAGGACUGAGAAUCCUCUGCCCUCCUUCCUCAACAUAGCCUUGAGAUUUCCUGCAAUCUUUGCUGAAAGCUUCCAUGGCAUCCUGUAGCAAUGAGUUCCACAAUUUAAUUAUAGACUGCUUGCAGAAAUACUUCCUUCUGUUUGUUCAGAACCUGCUGAUGAUUUCAUGGUGCGCUUGUACAGUAAGAAAUAAUGGCUAUAGUUCUC